Molecule: ribosomal RNA, 468 nt
Filed under: uncultured bacterium
Lineage: Bacteria
Description: partial 16S ribosomal RNA
Rfam family: Bacterial small subunit ribosomal RNA
Source: RNAcentral
GACGAACGCUGGCGGCGUGCUUAACACAUGCAAGUCGAACGGAAAGGCCCUGCUUUUGUUGGUUUCUCGAUUGGCGAACACGUGAGUGACACGUGUGUAACCUGCCCUUAACUUUGUGAUAACUUCAGGAAACUGGGGCUAAUAUCGGAUAUGAUCUCCUGCUGCAUGUGGUGGGAUGGAAAGUUUCGGCGGUUGGGGAUGUAUUCGAGGCUUAUCAGCUUGUUGGUGUGGUAGGGGCUUCCCAAGGCUUUGACGGGUAGCCUGCCUGAGAGGGUUACCGGGCACAUGAGGACUGAGAGACGGAGCAGACUCGAACGGGAGGCAGCAGUGGGAAGUCUUGCAGAAUAGGCGGACGCCUGAUGUAGCAGCGCCGCGAGCGGGAUACCGGCUUACGGGUUGUGAACAAAUUUGGAAUGUGAUGAAGACUGCGUGACGGUACUGGGUCAAGAAGCAACGGCUAACUACGUG